Molecule: ribosomal RNA, 497 nt
Filed under: uncultured bacterium
Lineage: Bacteria
Description: partial 16S ribosomal RNA
Rfam family: Bacterial small subunit ribosomal RNA
Source: RNAcentral
GAUGAACGCUGGCGGCGUGCCUAAUACAUGCAAGUCGAGCGAACAGACGAGGAGCUUGCUCCUCUGACGUUAGCGGCGGACGGGUGAGUAACACGUGGAUAACCUACCUAUAAGACUGGGAUAACUUCGGGAAACCGGAGCUAAUACCGGGUAAUAUAUUGAACCGCAUGGUUCAAUAGUGAAGGACGGUUUUGCUGUCACUUAUAGAUGGAUCCGCGCCGCAUUAGCUAGUUGGUAAGGUAACGGCUUACCAAGGCAACGAUGCGUAGCCGACCUGAGAGGGUGAUCGGCCACACUGGAACUGAGACACGGUCCAGACUCCUACGGGAGGCAGCAGUAGGGAAUCUUCCGCAAUGGGCGAAAGCUUGACGGAGCAACGCCGCGUGAGUGAUGAAGGUCUUCGGAUCGUAAAACUCUGUUAUUAGGGAAGAACAAAUGUGUAAGUAACUAUGCACGUCUUGACGGUACCUAAUCAGAAAGCCACGGCUAACUACGUG